UAAGGAACGCGGGGCCUUGGUAGAGC
RNAcentral lists this microRNA (26 nucleotides) under Homo sapiens (human). RNAcentral describes it as "hsa-miR-12120". The record is from miRBase by way of RNAcentral. Lineage: Eukaryota; Metazoa; Chordata; Mammalia; Primates; Hominidae.